CCUACGGGAGGCAGCAGUGAGGAAUAUUGGUCAAUGGGCGCGAGCCUGAACCAGCCAAGUAGCGUGAAGGAUGACUGCCCUACGGGUUGUAAACUUCUUUUAUAAAGGAAUACAGUGAGGCACGUGUGCCUUUUUGUAUGUACUUUAUGCAUAAGGAUCGGCUAACUCCGUGCCAGCAGCCGCGGGAAUACGGAGGAUCCGAUCGUUAUCCGGAUUUAUUGGGUUUAAAGGGAGCGUAGAGGGUUUGUUAAGUCAGUUGUGAAAGUUUGCGGCUCAACCGUAAAAUUGCAAUUGAUACUGGCAGCCUUGAGUACAGUUGAGGUAGGCGGAAUUCGUGGUGUAGCGGUGAAAUGCUUAGAUAGCACGAAGAACUCCGAUUGCGAAGGCAGCUUACUAAACUGCCACUGACAUUGAUGCUCGAAAGUGUGGGUAUCAAACAGGAUUAGAUACCCUUGUAGUC
RNAcentral lists this ribosomal RNA (460 nucleotides) under uncultured bacterium. RNAcentral's name for it is "partial 16S ribosomal RNA". It matches the Rfam family "Bacterial small subunit ribosomal RNA", at positions 338 to 795 of the family's 1533-position model. The record is from RNAcentral.